Molecule: ribosomal RNA, 492 nt
Filed under: uncultured bacterium
Lineage: Bacteria
Description: partial 16S ribosomal RNA
Rfam family: Bacterial small subunit ribosomal RNA
Source: RNAcentral
AGUGAACGCUGGCGGUAUGCCUAACACAUGCAAGUCGAACGGCAGCACAGUAAGAGCUUGCUCUUACGGUUGGCGAGUGGCGGACGGGUGAGGAAUACAUCGGAAUCUACUUUUUCGUGGGGGAUAACGUAGGGAAACUUACGCUAAUACCGCAUACAACCUACGGGUGAAAUCAAUGGAUCUUCGGACCUUGCGCGAUUGAAUUAGCCGAUGUCGGAUUAGCUAGUUGGCGGGGUAAAGGCCCACCAAGGCGACGAUCCGUAGCUGGUCUGAGAGGAUGAUAAGCCACACUGGAACUGAGACACGGUCCAGACUCCUACGGGAGGCAGCAGUGGGGAAUAUUGGACAAUGGGCGCAAGCCUGAUCCAGCCAUACCGCGUGGGUGAAGAAGGCCUUCGGGUUGUAAAGCCCUUUUGUUGGGAAAGAAAAGCAGCAGGUUAAUACCCCGCUGUUCUGACGGUACCCAAAGAAUAAGCACCGGCUAACUUCGUG